GGGGGCGUAGUUUCAAUGGUAAAACGUCGGUCUCCAAAACCGAAGUUCAGGGUUCGAGUCCUUGCGCCCCCG
RNAcentral lists this transfer RNA (72 nucleotides) under Elusimicrobiota bacterium. Its description in RNAcentral is "Elusimicrobia bacterium (groundwater metagenome) tRNA-Trp". It matches the Rfam family "tRNA". Rfam says of the family: Transfer RNA (tRNA) molecules are approximately 80 nucleotides in length. The record is from RNAcentral. Lineage: Bacteria; Pseudomonadati; Elusimicrobiota.